ACAGGGUUCGCUAAAUACCCCAAUAGUGCUCUGAGAAGGUGAAAUGGAUUUUUCCUCCUAAUGAGAUCUUGCGGAUGAUUAACUUGUUGGUGAAGUAACGGAUCACCGCGGCGACCAUUAGUAGGUGUUUUAAGAGGAUGAUCCAACCUGCUGCUGAUAAAACGCCCUCACUACUCCUGGAGGAGGCAGUGGGGAGUUUUUUUCCAUGGUGGAAAACCUCCCGGAGCAACACCCCCUGAUGAAGGAUGGCCGCCUGUGUGUUGACCUCUUUUUUUUUGGAGGAAGAUCUGAAUGAACUGGACGAAAAAAAAACGCCUAAGUCCAUUCCGUGCCACCCGCCACGACAAAAGAGACGAUGCUUAUCUUAACUUAUAUCGCUGGGCGUAACGCCUCGCGGGGUGGUUUGAUUGUCCUUCUGUCGAGUAGCGUAACUCCACUUCGGGGACGGAAUCUGCACUACUAGACGUGAGUAUGGGUAGAGUGAAUUCACUUUGUAGUGGAGCGAUGCGUUGCUUUUAUGAAGAACACAACCCCCAUAGGCAUUGUACUUUACUGGGCUAUAACCGCCUGUCAGAGACCAAAGCGAGCGUAGGGGAUUGGAUACCCCACUCCUCCAAAAUCA
Molecule: ribosomal RNA, 622 nt
Filed under: uncultured cyanobacterium
Lineage: Bacteria; Bacillati; Cyanobacteriota
Description: partial 16S ribosomal RNA
Rfam family: Bacterial small subunit ribosomal RNA
Source: RNAcentral